This 466-nucleotide ribosomal RNA is filed under the name uncultured bacterium. Its description in RNAcentral is "partial 16S ribosomal RNA". It matches the Rfam family "Bacterial small subunit ribosomal RNA", at positions 28 to 507 of the family's 1533-position model. The record is from RNAcentral.
GACGAACGCUGGCGGCGCGCCUAACACAUGCAAGUCGAACGAGCGAGAGAGAGCUUGCUUUCUCGAGCGAGUGGCGAACGGGUGAGUAACGCGUGAGGAACCUGCCUCAAAGAGGGGGACAACAGUUGGAAACGACUGCUAAUACCGCAUAAGCCCACGGCUCGGCAUCGAGCAGGGGGAAAAGGAGCAAUCCGCUUUGAGAUGGCCUCGCGUCCGAUUAGCUAGUUGGUGAGGUAACGGCCCACCAAGGCGACGAUCGGUAGCCGGACUGAGAGGUUGAACGGCCACAUUGGGACUGAGACACGGCCCAGACUCCUACGGGAGGGAGCAGUGGGGAAUAUUGCACAAUGGGGGAAACCCUGAUGCAGCGACGCCGCGUGGAGGAAGAAGGUCUUCGGAUUGUAAACUCCUGUUGUUGGGGAAGAUAAUGACGGUACCCAACAAGGAAGUGACGGCUAACUACGUG